This 46-nucleotide small RNA is filed under the name Sinorhizobium meliloti 2011. RNAcentral describes it as "putative ncRNA". Lineage: Bacteria; Pseudomonadati; Pseudomonadota; Alphaproteobacteria; Hyphomicrobiales; Rhizobiaceae. The record is from RNAcentral.
AAAAAUUUCGGCCGAGCUGACCGCAGCAGGUCGGCCGUCUCUUCGU